Molecule: ribosomal RNA, 253 nt
Filed under: uncultured bacterium
Lineage: Bacteria
Description: partial 16S ribosomal RNA
Rfam family: Bacterial small subunit ribosomal RNA
Source: RNAcentral
UACGUAGGGGGCUAGCGUUGCCCGGAAUCAUUGGGCGUAAAGCGCGCGUAGGCGGCCCGGUAAGUCCGCUGUGAAAGUCCAGGGCUCAACCCUGGAAAGCCGGUGGAUACUGCCGGGCUAGAGUCCGGAAGAGGCGAGUGGAAUUCCUGGUGUAGCGGUGGAAUGCGCAGAUAUCAGGAGGAACACCGAUGGCGAAGGCAGCUCGCUGGGACGGUACUGACGCUGAGGCGCGAAAGCGUGGGGAGCGAACAGG